Molecule: ribosomal RNA, 253 nt
Filed under: uncultured bacterium
Lineage: Bacteria
Description: partial 16S ribosomal RNA
Rfam family: Bacterial small subunit ribosomal RNA
Source: RNAcentral
UACGUAGGGCGCAAGCGUUAUCCGGAAUUAUUGGGCGUAAAGAGCUCGUAGGCGGUUUGUCGCGUCUGCCGUGAAAGUCCGGGGCUCAACUCCGGAUCUGCGGUGGGUACGGGCAGACUAGAGUGCGGUAGGGGAGAUUGGAAUUCCUGGUGUAGCGGUGGAAUGCGCAGAUAUCAGGAAGAACACCCGUGGCUAAGGCGGCUCUCUAGUACGGUACUGACGCUGAGACGCGAAAGCGUGGGGAGCGAACAGG